Molecule: ribosomal RNA, 469 nt
Filed under: uncultured bacterium
Lineage: Bacteria
Description: partial 16S ribosomal RNA
Rfam family: Bacterial small subunit ribosomal RNA
Source: RNAcentral
GACGAACGCUGGCGGCGUGCUUAACACAUGCAAGUCGAACGGAAAGGCCCUGCUUUUGUGGGGUGCUCGAGUGGCGAACGGGUGAGUAACACGUGAGUAACCUGCCCUUGACUUUGGGAUAACUUCAGGAAACUGGGGCUAAUACCGGAUAGGAGCUCCUGCUGCAUGGUGGGGGUUGGAAAGUUUCGGCGGUUGGGGAUGGACUCGCGGCUUAUCAGCUUGUUGGUGGGGUAGUGGCUUACCAAGGCUUUGACGGGUAGUCGGCCUGAGAGGGUGACCGGCCACAUUGGGACUGAGAUACGGCCCAGACUCCUACGGGAGGCAGCAGUGGGGAAUAUUGCACAAUGGGCGGAAGCCUGAUGCAGCAACGCCGCGUGCGGGAUGACGGCCUUCGGGUUGUAAACCGCUUUCGCCUGUGACGAAGCGUGAGUGACGGUAAUGGGUAAAGAAGCACCGGCUAACUACGUGC